Molecule: long non-coding RNA, 377 nt
Filed under: Phoenix dactylifera (date palm)
Lineage: Eukaryota; Viridiplantae; Streptophyta; Magnoliopsida; Arecales; Arecaceae
Description: long non-coding RNA (PDAC_LNC016847)
Source: RNAcentral
GAGCACCUGCUCUGAUACCACUUGUUGCCCAAGGUGACAACCCAAGAGGGGGGGUGAAUUGGGUCUUUUAAAAACUUUUCAACUACUUCUAAUCUUUUAGAGUUAAUUAAGCUAAGUUGUAUGGAUGCACGGAGAAGAGUUAAGCAAGCAUAGUAUCUAAGUAAGUAAGUGAGUGAGGAAGUUAGAUAACAAAGAGCAUCACAAACACAACAAAAGUAUAGUGGUUCGGUGCAUCCCAGCACCUACAUCCACUCCCAAGACCUCUUGGGAAUUUUCACUAUAAUUCCUCAGAUUACAGCCGGUUGUUUUACAAGCUCACAACCCAACUUGUUGUUUUGCGAGAUCACAACGAACUCGGUCGGUUUUCACAGGCUCAC